This 484-nucleotide ribosomal RNA is filed under the name uncultured bacterium. Its description in RNAcentral is "partial 16S ribosomal RNA". It matches the Rfam family "Bacterial small subunit ribosomal RNA", at positions 30 to 507 of the family's 1533-position model. The record is from RNAcentral.
AUUGAACGCUGGCGGCAGGCCUAACACAUGCAAGUCGAGCGGAUGAAGGGAGCUUGCUCCUGGAUUCAGCGGCGGACGGGUGAGUAAUGCCUAGGAAUCUGCCUGGUAGUGGGGGAUAACGUCCGGAAACGGGCGCUAAUACCGCAUACGUCCUGAGGGAGAAAGUGGGGGAUCUUCGGACCUCACGCUAUCUGAUGAGCCUAGGUCGAAUUAGCUAGUUGGUGGGGUAAAGGCCUACCAAGGCGACGAUCCGUAACUGGUCUGAGAGGAUGAUCAGUCACACUGGAACUGAGACACGGUCCAGACUCCUACGGGAGGCAGCAGUGGGGAAUAUUGGACAAUGGGCGAAAGCCUGAUCCAGCCAUGCCGCGUGUGUGAAGAAGGUCUUCGGAUUGUAAAGCACUUUAAGUUGGGAGGAAGGGCAGUAAGUUAAUACCUUGCUGUUUUGACGUUACCAACAGAAUAAGCACCGGCUAACUUCGUG